Molecule: small nuclear RNA, 106 nt
Organism: Octodon degus (degu)
Lineage: Eukaryota; Metazoa; Chordata; Mammalia; Rodentia; Octodontidae
Source: Ensembl
GUGCUCACUUUGGAAGCGUAUAUACUAAGAUUGAAACAAUACAGAGAAGAUUUGCUGGCCCUUCUAUAAAGAGGAAAAGAGAAUUUAUGAAGCAUUUCAUAUUUUU